UGCCUGUACCAUAACCGACACAGGUGGGUAGGUAGAGUAUACUAAGGGGCGCGAGAUAACUCUCUCUAAGGAACUCGGCAAAAUGACUCCGUAACUUCAGGAGAAGGAGUGCCUUAUUUAUAAGGUUGCAAUAACAAGAUCCAAGCAACUGUUUAUCAAAAACACAGGUCUCCGCUAAGUCGUAAGACGAUGUAUGGGGGCUGACGCCUGCCCAGUGCCAGAAGGUUAAAGAAGUUGGUUAGUGUAUGCGAAGCUGAUGACUGAAGCCCUGGUGAACGGCGGCCGUAACUAUAACGGUCCUAAGGUAGCGAAAUUCCUUGUCGGGUAAGUUCCGACCCGCACGAAAGGCGUAAUGAUUUGGAUACUGUCUCGGAGAGAGGCUCGGUGAAAUAGACUUGUCUGUGAAGAUGCGGACUACCUGCACCAGGACAGAAAGACCCUAUGAAGCUUUACUGUAACUUGAAAUUGGAAUUGGACUUUGCUUGCGCAGUAUAGGUGGGAAGCGUUGAAGAUAUUCUUGCGGGAGUAUUGGAGCUAUCAGUGAGAUACCACUCUUGUAAUGCUAGAUUUCUAACUUUGAACCAUAAUCUGGUCAAAGAACAGUUUCAGGUGGGCAGUUUGACUGGGGCGGUCGCCUCCCAAAUGGUAACGGAGGCGUACAAAGGUUUCCUCUGAACGGAUAGAAAUCGUAUCUAGAGUGUAAAGGCAUAAGGAAGCUUGACUGUGAGACCUACAAGUCGAGCAGGGACGAAAGUCGGUCUUAGUGAUCUGACGGUACUGAGUGGAAAGGCCGUCACUCAACGGAUAAAAGUUACUCUAGGGAUAACAGGCUGAUCUCCCCCAAGAGUUCACAUCGACGGGGAGGUUUGGCACCUCGAUGUCGGCUCAUCGCAUCCUGGGGCGGUAGUACGUCCCAAGGGUUGGGCUGUUCGCCCAUGAAAGCGGUACGCGAGCUGGGUUCAGAACGUCGUGAGACAGUUCGGUCCAUAUCCGGUGUAGGCGUUAGAAUAUUGAGAGGAGCCUUCUUUAGUACGAGAGGACCGAGAAGGACACACCGCUGGUGUACCAGUUAUCGUGCCAACGGUAAACGCUGGGUAGCUAUGUGUGGAGUGGAUAACCGCUGAAAGCAUCUAAGUGGGAAGCCCACCUCAAGAUUAGUAUUCCCAUGGCGUUAGCCAGUAAGGUCACGGGCAGAACACCCGUUGAUAGGCUCUACGUGGAAGCCGGGCAACCGGUGAAGCGGAGGAGUACUAAUAGGCCGAGGGCUUGAC
Molecule: ribosomal RNA, 1271 nt
Filed under: metagenome
Description: bacterial LSU rRNA
Rfam family: Bacterial large subunit ribosomal RNA
Source: RNAcentral